This 286-nucleotide ribosomal RNA is filed under the name uncultured archaeon. RNAcentral's name for it is "partial 16S ribosomal RNA". It matches the Rfam family "Archaeal small subunit ribosomal RNA", at positions 357 to 644 of the family's 1478-position model. The record is from RNAcentral.
CCAUUAAGGCGGCACGUGAAGGGGAUCCGAGUGCUCAUGCAUUGCGUGGGCUGUUCUUUGGUCUAACUAACCAAAGGAGGAGGGCUGGGAACGACCGCCUGCCGCCCGCCGCGGUAAUACCGCUCCUCAAGUGGUACCCGCGAUUAUUGGGCCUAAAGCGUUCGUAGCCGGAUAAGUAAGUCUUUGGUUAAAUCCUGCAACUCAACUGUGGGAAAUCUAGGGAUACUGCUUGUCUUGAGACCGAGAGAGGUUAGAGGUAUUCCUAGGGUAGGGGUGAAAUCCUGUA